UACGUAGGGUGCAAGCGUUGUCCGGGAUUAUUGGGCGUAAAGAGCUCGUAGGCGGUUUGUCGCGUCUGCUGUGAAAACUCGGGGCUUAACUCCGGGCCUGCAGUGGGUACGGGCAGACUAGAGUGCGGUAGGGGAGACUGGAAUUCCUGGUGUAGCGGUGAAAUGCGCAGAUAUCAGGAGGAACACCGGUGGCGAAGGCGGUUCUCUGGGCCUGUGCUGACGCUGAGGAGCGAAAGCGUGGGGAGCGAACAGG
RNAcentral lists this ribosomal RNA (253 nucleotides) under uncultured bacterium. RNAcentral's name for it is "partial 16S ribosomal RNA". It matches the Rfam family "Bacterial small subunit ribosomal RNA", at positions 524 to 776 of the family's 1533-position model. The record is from RNAcentral.